UCAACAUCGCUUCAGUCGCGUCGACGUUACCUCAUUGCCACGCCCCCAACUCGACGAAAAUCUGUUUCCUGCUUGUACUGACGACUCCUAAUUGCCAAAUAUUUUAUUUAAACGAGCAAUUUAACGUUAUCGAAUGCACUCACAAAAUUGCCUCGAUGCAUCGUAACGCGUGCCUAUUAUAGCACACAUCGAGGACUCGCGCCGAAUGAAAAUCGCGCCGAAUGAAAAUCGCGCAUCAGAAGAUGUAGCGUCACUUCCGGCUCGUGGGGCCAGGGCAUUUAACGUAAACAAAUGAGGUCUCACUGUACUGUAGCGGACGACUUCGAAUAUACCGUGCGCCCGCUUAAGUGCACUUGACUUCAGAUAAGAAUGUGAAGAGUUGAAGUUAUCCAGCCUCACAGACAGCAGCGCCACCGUGUGUCGAUGCAGAGGAGAGGCAUGUUCACUGUUCAAAUCUGUUUCUGGAACCACAGCACACCCUGCAGGUACACCAGCAUCCCAUUGAUGUGCACUUCAGAGUUGAGUAUUCGGACAUCAGAUAUCUUCGAGUGUCCACCAGGUGUCGGAGUGAACAUCACUGCCUGAGUUUUUCCACAUGUGCUGUGUGUGAGUUUAGGCCCCUCGCUCCGAGACGCUCUCUUCAACAGCCUCGAUUGUGCAAUAUUUAGUAUCUGGAACAGGCAUAAAUCCAAACGGCUGGAUGCCUGGCUCCAUGAACCUGCCCUGUGGUUUGUGUCAUCUUAUCUCAAGGUCAAAGUGGCGGAUGAAUUUUCCUGAUGGUUAGGAUCGUUGUGGACUAGCAGAACCCCAGCGACUCAUGUAUGUUUAGACAGUGUGGUCCAAAUGUAUACAUGUAUCUGGAGCGCCGCUGUUUGCUGAGCAGCCGAACGCGUGCCGUGUUUCCCAGCGUUGACAGGAUCUUGGAGGCUGUGCGGACGGCCUGCCGAAACCUGGCCCUGCCUCAGCCCGGACGCCUGUAAUCUGGGUUAAGAGAGAGUAAGACAAAAAGAGAGAAACCGAGACAGAUCACAGAGCCCGGUGACGUCACAGCGGCCGGGUUGUUCCACCAGGAUGGAAAAUAAUAAACGCAAGGGAUUUCUGUUAGUGUAAUCAGCUCACCUUUGUUCUCCUGCCUGGUCUUGAAGAAAAGGAGACUGAUAAAGACGACAGAAGCAGGUGGAUAAAAGAGGCGAGCGGAGACCUCUCGGAUGUUAUCUGCUCUGGGCUCCGGAAUGCCACGACACAAUCACUAAAGAGAAACUCUCCUCUUAAACACACACACAUACAGGGCCCAUUGUUGGCGGCGUGGCGUCUGUGAUCAUGCAGGCCUACGGAUGAUGAACGUGUGGCCCCUUCUCCAUUUUCUUCCCAUCUAACCCCUGAUCCCGGACCCCCGGCGGCUCCUGCAUCACAGAGGGCUCUCUUACAGCACAGCACACUCCGAUUAUUAUCUCCCUCUUCCUGCUUUUUCAUCUUAACUCGCCUCUCUUCACUCGUUUCCUCUCUUCCACCGGCCUGUCCUCGCUCACCUGCCGAGGAACGUCGCCAGCGGGAACCCUGUCAAGAAAAGAGUGUUGUGUUUGGAUCCGUCCGUGCAUGACAUGAUUCCAUUUGAUAAUAAUUUUCACAGCUGCUUUGAUAGAACAAUCGUGGCCGUUGCCGGUGAUGUCAGUUAUUUUGAUGUGACGUGUUAAGACGGGAUCAACGGUACCGUCUAGAACAUUGUUUGUUAUGCAUGUCUUCAGUCGCUAAUCAAUUAGCCUUAUCUUAAACGCACACUUCAGAGAUGGAAGUGAAGACGGUUUGUUGGAAACAAUGGCUUGUCUGAGCUCAACGAAGGUGCCGAGCAGAAACUUAAUCUGUCUAACGUCAUAUCGAGUAUGACUGAAUACAGAUCAAAAAUGAAUUGUGGAUUAUACAGGAUAAAUAUUCUAGAACGGUGACACUCCAGAAUAAAAACUUCAAUUCGCUUUUUUAUAGAUCAUGAGUUACUUCACCCAUAAAUUGAAAUACUAGGGGCGUGCAAAAAUAUCGAUACCUCGUGUGCAUUCAGUAUCACACAAGUGUUGUUUUUAAGGGUUUUGUCUGCUAAUCGUCUCCUUUUAAGCUCCACAGGCGAAAGAAGGUCAUACGGGUGAGUUAACUGUUUUUUCAUCUUUGGCUAAAUCUUAACAAAAUAAACACGUACACAACUGAGGCUAUAUUGUUGAGAUAUAGGAAACAUAUAGAUGUAUAAAAUGUUCAUAGCAAAGUUGUAUUUUAUAGAAUUUUAUUGAGUUUGAGUUUAUAUUGAGAACUCUGACUUUUGACCUGAACCCCGAGACCAGCUUUGAGAUUUAGUUGAGAUUUCUUUUGAAACUGAGGCGUUAAGAUAAAAGAAAGAGAUUGCACAUGUCUCCAUUUGCUCCAUCUUGACACCACGGUUAUGUGUAUAUAGGACUGUUGUGUACAUACUGUACGAUUAUGUUUCGCUCUACACAGAAAAGAUAAGUUGACUGUCACAAAAAUAAUUCACUACCACGCAAAGCAACCCGACUGAUCCUGAAUCAGCAGAGAGAGGGAUGUGGUGUUAAAAGCAAACAUACAGAAGAUAUGACAAGACGUAGAUCUCAGUGUUUUGAGAUUUUGUGUUUGGUCGCCAUGGCAAGGCGCCUUUCCCCCUUCCAUCUUUAUGUUGGUUUCUAUUGAGAGGUGAGGAAGCAGAAUGUGUGGAAUGUUAGAAGGAACGUGACAUCUCUACCAUCCUUCAGACACGCCGCCUUCUCCAAGCACUUCACAUUUGACCCGUGACUGCUCUUGAUCUUCAUACGCUGUUUGACGUUGCUUCAUCAGACGCUGCAAAAUAAUAACUUGUUAUACAUUUUAAGUCUUUUAGUUGCAUGAUGUGUGCAUCUUCUAAUGUCUGAAGCAUUGAAGUUUAAGCCAGUGGAGGUCGUGCGUGAAUAGAAUUCAAGUUUAACGGUUCAGGGAUCAAACUCCUCGUUCAGAUGAGGAGUUUUGAUGAAAAGUUGGAUCCCACGCACUAACUUGACUCUGCUGACCUUGUAGGUGACCUUCUCCGCAGUCAGUUGGGCGUUUUAUGGGAAAGAGAUGGAGUGUCUAUGGAGACCGCCAAAUGUUGAUGGGCAAUGUUAACUGACAGGUUACUGAUGAUGUCAGAUGUUUUUUUGACACCAGGCGCUGAGCCGUCAUAACCUGAGGGCACAGGAAAAUCUCCUCGGAGACUUCGGCACCGUUGUGAUAAUUACGAGAAUGCAGACGGAUGAUUAGGGCGCCGGUGAGAUCCAGAAUGCAAUGCGUGUGUGGUCUCGCAAACACAUGCAAUAUCAACAUACCCACCAUUUACUGGUCAUGCAUUAAUUGUGCACAUUUACCGUAUUUGUUGACAUUUGCAUCCACGUACAAAGCCGCAGUAACGAAAACUCCACCCCGACGGUCAUCCCUUCCCAGAAGUCUAAUGAGGGACAUUUUGACAAGUAUGACAGCAUCCAUCCACCAGGUCAGAGGUGUCCUCUUUGAAGUCCACAGGUCUUCUGGAUGUUUAUGUCCACGGGGCGAUACGCGCAGGUGACGCCUCCGCCUGCCCUGUUUAUUUGGAGCCGUGUUGCAGAUUUUCAUGACAAAGUGAGGAAAGUUUCUGUGCUCUCUGAAGUCGCCGGCUUGUUGGCGUGCAGAAACAGCUCUAGACCUUUAGUUUCAACCGAGCAACUUUGCAAUGCUGCUUGCGAUUGAUCAUUGGAACAAGGUUU
Long non-coding RNA from Triplophysa dalaica, 3749 nucleotides. RefSeq lists it as uncharacterized. NCBI's taxonomy places the organism in Eukaryota, Metazoa, Chordata, Actinopteri, Cypriniformes, Nemacheilidae. The record is from RefSeq and is a predicted model, not a curated record. The transcript is spliced from 7 exons.